RNAcentral lists this ribosomal RNA (253 nucleotides) under uncultured bacterium. Its description in RNAcentral is "partial 16S ribosomal RNA". It matches the Rfam family "Bacterial small subunit ribosomal RNA", at positions 524 to 776 of the family's 1533-position model. The record is from RNAcentral.
UACGUAGGGUGCGAGCGUUAAUCGGAAUUACUGGGCGUAAAGCGCGUGCAGGCGGUCUUGCCAGUCUGAUGUGAAAUCUCCCCGCUCAACGGGGAGCAGCCAUUGGAAACUACAAGACUGGAGUCUGACAGAGGUAGGCGGAAUUCCGGGUGGAGUGGUGAAAUGCGUAGAGAUCCGGAGGAACACCAGAGGCGAAGGCGGCCUACUGGGUCAGUACUGACGCUGAGCCGCGAAAGCCAGGGGAGCGAACGGG